GCGAACGGGUGAGUAAUACGUGAGUAACCUGCCCUUGACUCUGGGAUAAGCCCGGGAAACUGGGUCUAAUACUGGAUGCUACAUGUCACCGCAUGGUGGUGUGUGGAAAGGGUUUACUGGUCUUGGAUGGGCUCACGGCCUAUCAGCUUGUUGGUGAGGUAAUGGCUCACCAAGGCGACGACGGGUAGCCGGCCUGAGAGGGUGACCGGCCACACUGGGACUGAGACACGGCCCAGACUCCUACGGGAGGCAGCAGUGGGGAAUAUUGCACAAUGGGCGAAAGCCUGAUGCAGCGACGCCGCGUGAGGGAUGACGGCCUUCGGGUUGUAAACCUCUUUCAGCAGGGAAGAAGCCACAAGUGACGGUACCUGCAGAAGAAGCGCCGGCUAACUACGUGCCAGCAGCCGCGGUAAUACGUAGGGCGCAAGCGUUGUCCGGAAUUAUUGGGCGUAAAGAGCUCGUAGGCGGUUUGUCGCGUCUGCUGUGAAAGCCCGGGGCUUAACCCCGGGUGUGCAGUGGGUACGGGCAGACUAGAGUGCAGUAGGGGAGACUGGAAUUCCUGGUGUAGCGGUGGAAUGCGCAGAUAUCAGGAGGAACACCGAUGGCGAAGGCAGGUCUCUGGGCUGUUACUGACGCUGAGGAGCGAAAGCAUGGGGAGCGAACAGGAUUAGAUACCCUGGUAGUCCAUGCCGUAAACGUUGGGCACUAGGUGUGGGGGACAUUCCACGUUUUCCGCGCCGUAGCUAACGCAUUAAGUGCCCCGCCUGGGGAGUACGGCCGCAAGGCUAAAACUCAAAGGAAUUGACGGGGGCCCGCACAA
Molecule: ribosomal RNA, 820 nt
Filed under: Kocuria sp. DWM119
Lineage: Bacteria; Bacillati; Actinomycetota; Actinomycetes; Micrococcales; Micrococcaceae
Description: bacterial SSU rRNA
Rfam family: Bacterial small subunit ribosomal RNA
Source: RNAcentral